AUUGAACGCUGGCGGCAGGCCUAACACAUGCAAGUCGGGCGGUAACACAGGGAGCUUGCUCCUGGGUGACGAGCGGCGGACGGGUGAGUAACGUCUGGGAAACUGCCUGAUGGAGGGGGAUAACUACUGGAAACGGUAGCUAAUACCGCAUAACGUCGCAAGACCAAAGAGGGGGACCUUCGGGCCUCUUGCCAUCAGAUGUGCCCAGAUGGGAUUAGCUAGUAGGUGGGGUAACGGCUCACCUAGGCGACGAUCCCUAGCUGGUCUGAGAGGAUGACCAGCCACACUGGAACUGAGACACGGUCCAGACUCCUACGGGAGGCAGCAGUGGGGAAUAUUGCACAAUGGGCGCAAGCCUGAUCCAGCAAUACCGCGUGUGUGAAGAAGGCCCUAGGGUUGUAAAGGCACUUUCAAUGGGGAGGAAAACCUGCCGGUCAAUACCCGGUAGCUUGACAUUACCUAUAGAAGAAGCACCGGCUAACUCCGUGCCAGCAGCCGCGGUAAU
Molecule: ribosomal RNA, 505 nt
Filed under: uncultured bacterium
Lineage: Bacteria
Description: bacterial SSU rRNA
Rfam family: Bacterial small subunit ribosomal RNA
Source: RNAcentral